This 1677-nucleotide long non-coding RNA is filed under the name Mustela putorius furo (domestic ferret). Its description in RNAcentral is "lncRNA (ENSMPUG00000031479.1)". Lineage: Eukaryota; Metazoa; Chordata; Mammalia; Carnivora; Mustelidae. The record is from RNAcentral.
GGAUUGUUUAUGUCAUGAACUUAGGGUUACAUAAACGGAGUCUCAUUUUAGUGGUUUUCUAAAAAUGCUUCUUUAUCAGAGAGAUCAAUAAUAUCCUAAAGAAAUUACAACACUGUAUCUGGGCAAAGUGAUUUCCAAAUUCAUGCAUUAGGCCCAACAGAGUAGCAAGUUUUCAAUUUCCAGACCUGAGCAAAUUGUAUGAAACCACUAAUACUAUUUCUAGGACAGGCCACGUUCGGAAGACACACAAGUGGAUUGAAUAAGCAGCAAAAACAGUUGUCCUGGCUGAUCUUUUGGUGUCUGCCUAAGGCUGACAGCUGGGCCAGAGACCACAGGAUCAUGGAAAUGUCUACUGAGAUGGACUUCACCAGGGGACAAGCUUGAUUUGUCCACUCGUCCACUACAAAGGAAGAAUGAUAGACCAGCAGCUUUGUCCAUCUCUUCCUAUUUUAAUGAGAUCUGAGGAAGUUUGGUAGGAUUUCUUCUUUUGAGAGUUACAUAAUCACCUAAAAUAUAUUUAUAAAACACUAUCUUUGGGUAGAACUACAAAUGUAUAUUUAAUUCUGAGUGGAUGGUUUUAUACUUAGGUUACACUAAAAAUCUGGUUCAAAAAAAAAAAAAAGAUGCGAAGUGUGAAGACUAAAGAGAGAGAACAAUCAUGGUCUCCUCUGUAAAAUAUCUUCAGUUUGAUUUUCCCAUCUAGUAUAUAUGGAAGAGUUUAUUGAAUUGAUCUCACUGUUGUCCACGUGUUCUAAAGGCCAAACUUUUGAAUUUAACAACAAGGAGAUCCACUGCUAUGAAGCAGAAACCUGUGGCCAUAUAUGAAGGAAAACUCUUCAGAGCAAAUUUUCUUGUAUGUGAGAACCUCUUCUUAUAUGUAAAAGGUAUGGGAACCUCUUCUGAGACUAGAAUCUAACACUAAAACCUGCCUACACAGCAAUCCCAACAAAAUACUCUUGGUAUAUUUCAGCUGAAAAUUUGAAAAUACAUGUUUUCAUCUUUUAUUAUGGCAAGACAUUCUAGCCUCCCAGUUAUAACAGUGCAAAUGUAUUUCCAACUCAAAAAGCUAUUAUUAAAAUUAAUAAAAGAAGUACUAAAAUCAGGGUCUUCCCAUGCCAAAUCCAGUUCAAUAUAACUAUUUGUAGCUGAGUUUUAAGCUCUUAGAAAUGUUGUGUUUAUAGUUGAAGUAACAGAGAUUUUACUGUAAUAGAGGAAAGAGGUGUGUUAAAAUAAAAACAGUAAAAUACUUAAACUGCUGGUCAUGUUUAUGACUCAGAAAAGAAGGCUCUAGUGGACAUCAGGUCAGGUUCUCCUAUGCAAGGGGACUGAUCUUAAGUGGACUGCAUAUACUUCAACAGUGACUUUUACUUUUUAAUAGUGUUUUUACGUGAAUCUACCAAAGAAAAGGCAAAUGUACCAAACUAAACUGUGUAGGGUUUCCGAUCCUAGAAAAGGUGGGUAAAGUGAAAUCAUCUUUACAGUAGCCACCAUGCCCCUCAGAGUCCACCUACUGUAAUUAUAAAACGCUGAAAGCAAAACUAUGUAGGUAAGUUUCUUAAAAUAAGUCUAUUUUUUUUUAAAGAGAUACAUUUGCAGUGAAAACUUCACUUUGUUUACAAUUUGAAAUCAAGUAGGGAUUUUUAAUAUUGAAAUCCUUUAUUUCACUCCUAAAAACUG